Ribosomal RNA from Ictidomys tridecemlineatus (thirteen-lined ground squirrel), 86 nucleotides. The record is from Ensembl. Lineage: Eukaryota; Metazoa; Chordata; Mammalia; Rodentia; Sciuridae.
GUCUACGGUAAUACCACCCUGAACAUGCCCAAUCUCCUGUGAUCUUGGAAGCCAAACAGAAUCGGUUAAUAGUCAAACAAGAGAUC